GAGGAAAAGAAACCAACAGGGAUUGCCUCAGUAACGGCGAGUGAAGCGGCAAGAGCUCAAAUUUGAAAGCUGGCCCCUUCGGGGUCCGCGUUGUAAUUUGCAGAGGAUGCUUCGGGUGCAGCCCCCGUCUAAGUGCCCUGGAACGGGCCGUCAUAGAGGGUGAGAAUCCCGUCUGGGACGGGGUGUCUGCGUCCGUGUGAAGCUCCUUCGAAGAGUCGAGUUGUUUGGGAAUGCAGCUCUAAAUGGGUGGUAAAUUUCAUCUAAAGCUAAAUACUGGCCGGAGACCGAUAGCGCACAAGUAGAGUGAUCGAAAGAUGAAAAGCACUUUGAAAAGAGAGUUAAACAGCACGUGAAAUUGUUGAAAGGGAAGCGUUUGCGACCAGACUCGCUCGCGGGGUUCAGCCGGCAUUCGUGCCGGUGUACUUCCCCGUGGGCGGGCCAGCGUCGGUUUGGGCGGCCGGUCAAAGGCCCUCGGAAUGUAUCACCUCUCGGGGUUGUCUUAUAGCCGAGGGUGCAAUGCGGCCUGCCCGGACCGAGGAACGCGCUUCGGCUCGGACGCUGGCGUAAUGGUCGUAAAUGACCCGUCUUG
Molecule: ribosomal RNA, 589 nt
Filed under: Aspergillus fumigatus
Lineage: Eukaryota; Fungi; Ascomycota; Eurotiomycetes; Eurotiales; Aspergillaceae
Description: eukaryotic LSU rRNA
Rfam family: Eukaryotic large subunit ribosomal RNA
Source: RNAcentral